CAGCAGCAGCCGCGGGAAUACGGAGGGCGCGAGCGUUACCCGGAUUUACUGGGCGUAAAGGGCGUGUAGGCGGCCUGGGACGUCCCAUGUGAAAGGCCACGGCUCAACCGUGGAGGAGCGUGGGAUACGCUCAGGCUAGAGGGUGGGAGAGAGUGGUGGAAUUCCCGGAGUAGCGGUGAAAAGCGCAGAUACCGGGAGGAACGCCGAUGGCGAAGGCAGCCACCUGGUCCACUUCUGACGCUGAGGCGCGAAAGCGUGGGGAGCAAACCGGAUUAGAUACCCGGGUAGUCCCUGUCUCUUAUAC
Molecule: ribosomal RNA, 304 nt
Filed under: uncultured bacterium
Lineage: Bacteria
Description: partial 16S ribosomal RNA
Rfam family: Bacterial small subunit ribosomal RNA
Source: RNAcentral